Molecule: long non-coding RNA, 931 nt
Organism: Cariama cristata (Red-legged seriema)
Lineage: Eukaryota; Metazoa; Chordata; Aves; Cariamiformes; Cariamidae
Exons: 2
Source: RefSeq, a predicted model, not a curated record
AGGUGGAACUGCUGGUGAUGAAGGCUCUCUCAGUAGGCUUGGUAAAGGGCAGUAUUGAUGAAGUUGAUAAGAGGGUGCACAUGACAUGGGUACAACCACGCGUGUUGGAUUUACAACAGAUCAAAGGAAUGAAAGACCGUCUGGAGUUCUGGUGCACAGAUGUGAGGAGCAUGGAGAUGUUGGUGGAGCACCAAGCUCAUGACAUCCUAACAUAGAGGACCUUGCACUACCCCUGGGGGAGUAAUUUCUACUGCUACUGAGGCUAGCAGCACUCAGACCACUGACUCUGUACUGAAUUAUAUUGAAGGGGGGUGGGUGGGCAGAGGGGAGAGCAGCUCUUUGACGCUUGUUUGGAGGAGUAAGUGGCCUUUUGGUGUGUAACCCUUUGGUGCUUGGAGUCAAGAUUUCCCUAUGCGCUAACAUUAGUGGCACCGACCACGAGAGCUCCCGUCCUGCUCUCGGAGGACAAAGGCUCCGCAGUGGUUGAUUUAUCAGUGGUGUUGUCAAACUGUUGUGGGAGGAUGUGAUGCUGGUUGCGUGUUGCAGGAGCGGAGGCUAUUUGCCGGGUAAGGGAGUAGCAGAAGUUCCUUUAUGAGAACAUGCUGGAGGGGUGCCUGACCAUUGUAUGGGACGUUACUUAGUGGUAUUGGCCUUAGGAGGGCGUGACCUUCCCCGGUAACCUCCCUCCCCCUGCCCCUGCAGCAGCACAAAGGCAGCAUUACUGAAAUCAUCUCUCUCCUUUUGCCCUCUUUCUCCACAGCCCCUCCCCCUCAUCUGCAGUAGAGGGAGUGUUUACUCCAUCAAAGGGUUUUUUCCAGGAUUACCGUUCAGUGGAUGUGUUUUUAUAUACUUUUGGGGGUGGUUGUCUUUUACGAACACUUUGUGCUAAAGUGAGAUGCAGCAGUAUUGCUGGAAUAAACUUCUCUGCCUU